Molecule: transfer RNA, 69 nt
Filed under: Urocitellus parryii (Arctic ground squirrel)
Lineage: Eukaryota; Metazoa; Chordata; Mammalia; Rodentia; Sciuridae
Also listed under: 1 other name
Description: Spermophilus parryii (Arctic ground squirrel) tRNA
Rfam family: tRNA
About the family: Transfer RNA (tRNA) molecules are approximately 80 nucleotides in length. Their secondary structure includes four short double-helical elements and three loops (D, anti-codon, and T loops).
Source: Rfam by way of RNAcentral
GGGGUUGUAGCUCAGUGGUAGAGCACUUGCCUAGCAUGUGUGAGGCCCUGAGUUCGAUACCCAGCACCA